CAAAUGGUAAAAGGGCUAAAAAGGUCAUUCAACUUAGAUCAGUCAAUAUUUGCGACACCGAUGCACUGUAUAACGGCAUGAAUUUCUCUACAAAUUAGAUACAAAAUGGCUCUCAAAUAGGGGCUUAGGGUGUGUUCAGGAGUGAUUUUUCACCCCAAAAAAAUGAUUUUUUACGGAAUCAAAUGGUAAAAGGGCUAAAAAGGUCAUUCAACUUAUUUCAGUCAAUAUUUGCGACACCGAUGCACCGUAUAACGGCAUGAAUUUCUCUACAAAUUAGAUACAAAAUGGCUCUCAAAUA
RNAcentral lists this long non-coding RNA (298 nucleotides) under Olea europaea subsp. europaea. Lineage: Eukaryota; Viridiplantae; Streptophyta; Magnoliopsida; Lamiales; Oleaceae. The record is from RNAcentral.